AGGAUAAACGCUGGCGGCGUGCCUAACACAUGCAAGUCGAACGUCUCUUCUUUCGGGAAGAGGAGUGGCGGACGGGUGAGGAACACGUGGGAACCUGCCCUUCAGUGAGGAAUACCGGCGAGAAAUCGCCGACAAGACCGCAUAGCCCUCUCUGGUGAGAGCCAGAGAAGGAAAGCCUCGCAAGAGGCGCUGGAGGAGGGGCCUGCGUCCGAUUAGCUAGUUGGUGGGGUAAGAGCCUACCAAGGCGUCGAUCGGUAGCUGGUCUGAGAGGACGAUCAGCCACACUGGGAUUGAGAACGGCCCAGACUCCUACGGGGGGCAGCAGUGAGGAAUUUUCGGCAAUGGGGGAAACCCUGACCGAGCAACGCCGCGUGCAGGAAGACGGCCUUCGGUGUAACUGCUUUCUUUGGGUACGAGCAAGGACGGUACCAGAGGAAUCAGCCCGGCUCACUACGUGCCAGCAGCCGC
This 468-nucleotide ribosomal RNA is filed under the name uncultured bacterium. Its description in RNAcentral is "SSU rRNA". It matches the Rfam family "Bacterial small subunit ribosomal RNA", at positions 26 to 518 of the family's 1533-position model. The record is from RNAcentral.